GAUGAACGCUGGCGGCGUGCUUAACACAUGCAAGUCGAACGGAGUGCCUUUGAAAGAGGAUUCGUCCAAUUGAUAAGGUUACUUAGUGGCGGACGGGUGAGUAACGCGUGAGGAACCUGCCUUUCAGUGGGGGACAACAGUUGGAAACGACUGCUAAUACCGCAUGACGCUUCUUAGGGGCAUCCCUGAGAAGUCAAAGCUUUAUGUGCUGAAAGAUGGCCUCGCGUCUGAUUAGCUAGUUGGUGGGGUAACGGCCCACCAAGGCGACGAUCAGUAGCCGGUCUGAGAGGUUGAUCGGCCACAUUGGGACUGAGACACGGCCCAG
This 325-nucleotide ribosomal RNA is filed under the name uncultured bacterium. Its description in RNAcentral is "bacterial SSU rRNA". It matches the Rfam family "Bacterial small subunit ribosomal RNA", at positions 28 to 334 of the family's 1533-position model. The record is from RNAcentral.